Non-coding RNA from Acanthosepion pharaonis, 111 nucleotides. NCBI's taxonomy places the organism in Eukaryota, Metazoa, Mollusca, Cephalopoda, Sepiida, Sepiidae. The record is from the annotation of a GenBank genome assembly.
UUACGACCACAUCACAUUGAGAGACCAGUUGCCGUACGAUCACCGAAGUUAAGCAACAACGAACCUGGUCAGUACCUGAAUGGGUGACCGAUUGGGAAUACCAGGUACUAU